This 26-nucleotide non-coding RNA is filed under the name Homo sapiens (human). Lineage: Eukaryota; Metazoa; Chordata; Mammalia; Primates; Hominidae. The record is from RNAcentral.
UGACUGUGGUGCAGAACAUGGAAGGG